AACGAACGCUGGCGGCGUGCCUAACACAUGCAAGUCGUGCGAGAAAGUUCCUUCGGGAGCGAGUAAAGCGGCGCACGGGUGAGUAACACGUAGGUAACCUGCCCCCCAGUCUGGAACAACUAGAGGAAACUCUAGCUAAUGCCGGAUGAGACCACGAUCCCUUCGGGGGUUGCGGCCAAAGAUGGCCUCUACUUGUAAGCUAUCGCUGAGGGAUGGGCCUGCGGGCCAUUAGCUUGUUGGUGAGGUAACGGCUCACCAAGGCUGUGAUGGCUAGCUGGUCUGAGAGGAUGACCAGCCACACUGGGACUGAGACACGGCCCAGACUCCUACGGGAGGCAGCAGUGGGGAAUAUUGCGCAAUGGGCGAAAGCCUGACGCAGCGACGCCGCGUGGGUGAUGAAGGCCUGGUCGGUAA
RNAcentral lists this ribosomal RNA (414 nucleotides) under uncultured bacterium. Its description in RNAcentral is "bacterial SSU rRNA". It matches the Rfam family "Bacterial small subunit ribosomal RNA", at positions 29 to 429 of the family's 1533-position model. The record is from RNAcentral.